AAGCAGACUGGUUUGUCUGAGGGCUAUGGGUUUGUAGAAUUUUUUACACCUGCAGAAGCCGAGCAGGUUCUGCAGAGCUAUACUGGCAUUUUGAUGCCUAAUACAGAACAGCCGUUCCAGUUCCGUCUCAACUGGGCAACAUUUAGCACGGGUGAUAAGCGAUCAGACAAUGCGCCUGAUCUUUCUAUUUUUGUUGGAGAUUUAGCUGCAGAUGUUACUGAUAGUAUAUUGCAUGAAACUUUCGCUGGUAGAUAUCCAUCUGUUAAAGCUGCUAAAGUUGUAUUUGAUGC
Molecule: unclassified non-coding RNA, 290 nt
Filed under: Hevea brasiliensis (rubber tree)
Lineage: Eukaryota; Viridiplantae; Streptophyta; Magnoliopsida; Malpighiales; Euphorbiaceae
Source: RNAcentral